RNAcentral lists this ribosomal RNA (440 nucleotides) under uncultured bacterium. Its description in RNAcentral is "partial 16S ribosomal RNA". It matches the Rfam family "Bacterial small subunit ribosomal RNA", at positions 342 to 795 of the family's 1533-position model. The record is from RNAcentral.
CGGGGCGCUGCAGCAGGAGGGAAUAUUGCACAAUGGACGGAAGUCUGAUGCAGCGACGCCGCGUGGAUGAUGAAGGCCCUCGGGUUGUAAAAUCCUUUUCAGGGGGACGAGGAAGGACGGUACCCUUGGAAUAAGCGUCGGCUAACUACGUGCCAGCAGCCGCGGUAAGACGUAGGACGCAAGCGUUAUCCGGAUUUACUGGGCGUAAAGCGUCUGUAGGCGGAAUGGUAAGUUGGACGUGAAAGCUCCGGGCUCAACCCGGAGAGGUCGUUCAAUACUGCCAAACUAGAGGGCAUCAGAGGAGCGUGGAAUUUCCGGUGUAGCGGUAAAAUGCGCAGAUAUCGGAAGGAACACCAAUGGCGAAGGCAGCGCUCUGGGAUGAACCUGACGCUAAGAGACGAAAGCUAGGGGAGCGAACAGGAUUAGAUACCCCAGUAGUC